GGUGAGCAUAGUGUCUUUACUUGGAGAUCUUCUUUGGAGUGUUUGGCAAGCUCUGAUUCUUAGAAGGUGAGAACUGUCACAGUGGCACCUUAAAGGGAUGAAUGUCUUCUGCUGUGCUCCUCCUAGGAUGACCUGACCUGGAUUUCUGCAGUGCUGGGCAGCCACCUGGCAGAAGAAUGGGACCUCGCUGCUUGGACAGGGGAUGCUUGCAAGCACACUCCUCUCAAAUAAAAAGUUAUGAAGAGUUUGGAGCUGUUGGUUGGAUGCAGUCAGGUGAAAUGCAAAAACUGCUGUCCCCUCAAGCAGCUGGGCCAUGGAGCCAGCAGAGGCUCCAGGAUGGGGAUAAAAACCAUCGAUUUCAUGCAUCUGGGCUGCAGCUCAAUGUCCUGUCAGAGCUCACCGAGGGCUGCUGGCGCAGCCACGGUGGGAAAUUACAGCUGUGGGCUGAGUAAUGUCUGCGAUCUGACCGUGUCAGGGGGCCUGGCAUGACAAAUGGAGGAGCUGAUCCUUCCUGUUCGAUAGCUGGUGUGCUCACAUUGCUGUGUGCUGAUAGCUGCUGCCAAGGGGCUGUGCUGCUGCCUGCAGCAAGGAGCUGGGGACGGAGGUUAGCACAAACCCAAACUCUUCCAUGGGAUUAGGCUCCAGUACUGCAUCCCCAAUUCCGCACCCCCACAGCAUCCCUGGCUUCCACCUGGGCUCUGCUGGGAGGUUAGAGGGCUGAAGCCAAGCAGGAGGCCUUUGGCUCAUGCUGUGAGCAUCUCGGUGCUUUUUGGAAGCUGUCUGUCUGUUGGUAGCACAGGAGUGGCUGGGUGCCAGGGUUGCUUCCUGGCAGGGGCUGGAAUGGGGCAGUGUUGGGUGGCGGGGAGGGAUGGAGUGCUACAGAGACUCAUGGUGAAAUUGUUGAUGGAUUCAAUUCAAUCUCUGCUCUUGAUAUCAUCUGCAAAUAUCUAAAUCUAGAUGUAUGUAUGUAUAGUCCUUAUAGUCCAAAGUAGAUUGCUGCAUGUGCUUCCUCUUCUGCAGCUCCAAAGCAGCCAGAGCUGGCUGGAAUAGUGGUACUGACCAUUUGCUACAAUUGAAACUGAGAUCACAAAGAGACCUGCUUUGCUGCCCUGUCCUUCUUUAACUGAAGCAAUGCUGAUUUGUGACCAGCACUGCAGAGGUGAGCCUGUCAGCCUGUGGUGGCAAUGGCAAGGCCUUAGCCAUUGCCAUAAUUGGCAGUAAAUACAUACUUACACUUAAUUCUUAGCAUGCUGUGUGUCUUCUGCAUCCACACGUAAAGGAAAAUAGGACCUUUCCUACGCCAUUCGCGUCCACCUCCAUCUCUGAUUAAAACUGCCUUAUGGCCUCUCUUUGCACCGUGGUUACUCGAGCAUUUAUCAUUCCUGCUUUCUAUGUGAGGCCAGUUGUGUACGCAGCCCUGGACCCCCGUACGAAGCAGUGCUUACAGCAGAACCCCGGCAAGCUCUGGCUGACAGCAGCGUGAUGUGAUUUCGGUGCCUGCUGAGCAGUUACUUCUGCCAACUCCUUGAAGUGCUCCUGCUCUCCUAAAUGCCCUCCUCCUGCAACAGUGGGAGAAGGCUCGGUCUGUCCGUCGGUCCGCCUGCCCCGCGCAGCACGGCGGUUCUCGGCACCAGAUGGCGCUCGCUGCCUUCCGAUGAGCCGAACGCGCUCAACUUUC
Molecule: non-coding RNA, 1678 nt
Organism: Meleagris gallopavo (turkey)
Lineage: Eukaryota; Metazoa; Chordata; Aves; Galliformes; Phasianidae
Source: RefSeq, a predicted model, not a curated record